RNAcentral lists this long non-coding RNA (381 nucleotides) under Chloebia gouldiae (Gouldian finch). RNAcentral describes it as "Erythrura gouldiae (Gouldian finch) lncRNA (ENSEGOG00005008173.1)". Lineage: Eukaryota; Metazoa; Chordata; Aves; Passeriformes; Passeridae. The record is from RNAcentral.
GUUGGGUCCUCAGCCUGUUCAGCUGGGGGAAGAGAGCGGUACAGAAGAUGGGCAGGGAAGGCAAGGCAAGGCAAAGCAAGAUCAAGAUGCUGUGCUGCAGGGCCAGAAGAAUUGGAAGAGAUUUAGAUGACCUGAGUCUGGAUUUUAGAGCUAAGGAUCUCUUCUUCUAGCAAGUCCUAGCUGAAGAAGAAUUGUUGAACAACCCUGUUGCUGUCCUGAAGGCUGUGAAGAUACAGCAGAGUUGCUGAAGAUACCAGAGAUAAAUAUCAUCCUCUUGUCUCUCCUAUGUUUAUCUCCUUUUCUCUAAACUCUUUGUUUUAUUUUUAUUGGGAUUUUCUUUGGAUUAACCCUAUUAAAUACAUCACUAGCCCUGAAAUUUGC